This 247-nucleotide long non-coding RNA is filed under the name Gossypium barbadense (sea-island cotton). RNAcentral describes it as "long non-coding RNA (GBAR_LNC008773)". Lineage: Eukaryota; Viridiplantae; Streptophyta; Magnoliopsida; Malvales; Malvaceae. The record is from RNAcentral.
UGUUUCAGAGAUUAAAAUUGCUAAUAACUGUGGUGGAGCCUCUCUUAAUCGUUCGUUCAAAGAAAAAGAAGGUAAAUUAAAAAAUGCGAGAAUUUCUAAAAUUCCGUUGACAAAAGCUAUUAGCUCCAUGGUUAAUCUUGUCAAGUCGCAAGUUGAGACUAGAGCAGAUAUAAUCAGAGGAAAUAUUGAGAGUCAGACUAGUGAUCCUAGACCCGCACCCAAAUGAUUUGGUGGUAUCUUUAUUUUG